Hemiscyllium ocellatum (epaulette shark) is the source of this 333-nucleotide long non-coding RNA. RefSeq lists it as uncharacterized. The record is from RefSeq and is a predicted model, not a curated record. NCBI's taxonomy places the organism in Eukaryota, Metazoa, Chordata, Chondrichthyes, Orectolobiformes, Hemiscylliidae. The transcript has 4 exons.
UCGCGGCUGUGCGGGCGGGGAGCUGUCGCACAACCAGAACUGGACAGAGUAUUCCAGAAGAGGCCUCCCCAACAUCUUGUACAUCCCCAACAUAACGUCCCAACUCCUGUACUCCAAGGUCUGAACAAUCAAGAUCCCAGUGAUUAAUGCCAAAGCCCUGUUGCCUGGGGAGAGGGUGAUGUUUGACUUUCUUGUACAGCUGCAGUUUGUGUGGUGAAGGUGCUCCCACAAUGUGGUUGGGAUAUUAAAUUGAGGCUGGGAUCUCAAAAGCAAGAUUUUACAGUCAAUGGAGUCAUCAGGGUCUGAAUAUCAUUGGCAUUUAACCGUGGAAGG